UAAAUUUUCUUUUAAUUUUUACCCGGCAACCCAAUUCCUAUAUUGCGAUGAAAUCAUGUCCAAUUGUAACCAAUUCGAAUAACAUACGAGCAGAUAACUAAACAAGAAAAUUCGAAACUACGGAGAACAAUUACACAAAUAGCAGAAUCAUAUCACGAAAUAAACAUUUAACAUUAAUCUUGAAUAAACGGAUAGAGGAUGAGAGAAUUAGACCUCAAUACCGCCGGAAAAUUGAUUAUUCACGAUUUUGAACUUGAGAUGCAACGAACCGCGGACGAAACUCGAAUCAAUACCGAAAAGCGAAUAAUCAGACUGAGACUCAAAUCGGUACCAGAAACUCAACCAAACAAGGAUUUGGACCCAAAUUUUAAUCAAAGUCUACCCCUGAACAAAAUCAGAAUCGAAAGGUGAACAAUCAGAAAUGUGUAUCUUUGUAUUUAUUGAUUUUGAAUUUCCUAGAAAAAGGAUCUGCAAAAAAUGGAUUUCAUUCCUCCAUCACACUGCUUUCUUUCUUGCUAAGAAUGAAAUCGGAAAGUAAAACAAAGUCAAACUCAAAAGCCAAAAUCCCGUCUUCUUUCAUCACUUUUUCGUCCAGAUUUUUGUUCUUGUGAUUUUCCCCGCUUACCUCUUAUGUUCUUCUGUGUUGUGUGUAGCUAGUUGGUCGGCGAGCAGCUGAAGUUUAUGGUCAUUUAGGAUGGGGUUCGUCCGGUUUCAGGCGGAGAUGAAACUGUGCGUGUGUGUGAGUGCCGGCUGUGGCUGCUGGAUUUUUUGAGAAAGGGUAGUCGUUGAGCUGAAAUGAGGCAGCAGGUGGUGGCUGGUCGUUUGUGAGAGUGAGGCGUUAGGGUGUUGUUGUUGGUAUUAGUCAGUGUGGUCGUGUAUACUGGAGACGGUGGAACAUGGUGGUCGUUCGGGCUGGGUUCGACGGAUGGUGGUGGCUAUGGAGUUGUUUUUGAGUGUUCUGCCCGGCGUAGUUCAGGGAGGUCGACGGACAACUGGUCGUUGGUCGUUUGGUGGUGGACGAGCGGGGGGUCUGCUUGGGGGGUGGCGGCUUGGAGAAGAAGAUGGCUUGGGGUCCUUAGGGUUUUCUCUUUCCCGUUUUUUGUGUGUCUCCGUGAAGAAGAAGAAGAAGGAACAUU
RNAcentral lists this long non-coding RNA (1136 nucleotides) under Nicotiana benthamiana. RNAcentral's name for it is "long non-coding RNA (NBEN_LNC042628)". Lineage: Eukaryota; Viridiplantae; Streptophyta; Magnoliopsida; Solanales; Solanaceae. The record is from RNAcentral.